GGUGCUUCUGCUAUUGGCUGGGGACGAAAGGUGGCUGCGGAGGGUUGUGAGCAGGAGAUGUUCAAGCUACAGGAUAGUACGGCUCUGAUACCAGUUGUUAGGAUCUGAACUGUAACUCUCAUCGAGAGGAUGACACUAGGAAGAGUUGGGGCAAUUUUCUGGGUUUUCUUUCCACAAUACCAUAUCCAACCAAGGGUUGGGGAUACAUAUUUAUAGCUGGCCAAGUAGCCAACCAGCC
RNAcentral lists this long non-coding RNA (238 nucleotides) under Setaria viridis. RNAcentral's name for it is "long non-coding RNA (SVIR_LNC000181)". The record is from RNAcentral. Lineage: Eukaryota; Viridiplantae; Streptophyta; Magnoliopsida; Poales; Poaceae.